GGCCGGUUAGGUCAGCUGGUUAGAACGUGGUGCUAAUAACGCCAAGGUUGCAAGUUCGAUACCCGUACUGGCCA
RNAcentral lists this transfer RNA (74 nucleotides) under Danio rerio (zebrafish). It matches the Rfam family "tRNA". Rfam says of the family: Transfer RNA (tRNA) molecules are approximately 80 nucleotides in length. Their secondary structure includes four short double-helical elements and three loops (D, anti-codon, and T loops). Further hydrogen bonds mediate the characteristic L-shaped molecular structure. tRNAs have two regions of fundamental functional importance: the anti-codon, which is responsible for specific mRNA codon recognition, and the 3' end, to which the tRNAs corresponding amino acid is attached (by aminoacyl-tRNA synthetases). tRNAs cope with the degeneracy of the genetic code in two manners: having more than one tRNA (with a specific anti-codon) for a particular amino acid; and 'wobble' base-pairing, i.e. permitting non-standard base-pairing at the 3rd anti-codon position. Lineage: Eukaryota; Metazoa; Chordata; Actinopteri; Cypriniformes; Danionidae. The record is from Rfam by way of RNAcentral.